Molecule: ribosomal RNA, 394 nt
Filed under: uncultured bacterium
Lineage: Bacteria
Description: bacterial SSU rRNA
Rfam family: Bacterial small subunit ribosomal RNA
Source: RNAcentral
ACGGGUGAGUAACACGUGGGAACGUGCCCUUCAGUUCGGAACAACCCAGGGAAACUUGGGCUAAUACCGGAUACGUCCGCAAGGAGAAAGAUUUAUCGCUGAAGGAUCGGCCCGCGUCUGAUUAGCUAGUUGGUGGGGUAAUGGCUCACCAAGGCGACGAUCAGUAGCUGGUCUGAGAGGAUGAUCAGCCGCACUGGGACUGAGACACGGCCCAGACUCCUACGGGAGGCAGCAGUGGGGAAUAUUGGACAAUGGGCGCAAGCCUGAUCCAGCCACGCCGCGUGAGUGAUGAAGGCCUUCGGGUCGUAAAGCUCUGUGGGGAGGGACGAACCGCUGCGGAUUCAUACUCCGCAGCAUGACGGUACCUCCUUAGCAAGCACCGGCUAACUUCGUG